RNAcentral lists this non-coding RNA (29 nucleotides) under Rattus norvegicus (Norway rat). Lineage: Eukaryota; Metazoa; Chordata; Mammalia; Rodentia; Muridae. The record is from RNAcentral.
UCUUUUUUCCCUGCAUCUAUUGUGUUCAA